AGUAGGGAAUAUUGGACAAUGGGUGCGAGCCUGAUCCAGCCAUGCCGCGUGCAGGAAGACGGCCUUCUGGGUUGUAAACUGCUUUUGCCAGGGGAUAAAAAGUCCCUGCGGGGAAAAUUGAAGGUACCUGGUGAAUAAGCCACGGCUAACUACGUGCCAGCAGCCGCGGUAAUACGUAGGUGGCAAGCGUUGUCCGGAUUUAUUGGGUUUAAAGGGUGCGUAGGUUGUUUUGUAAGUCAGUGGUGAAAUCCGGCAGCUCAACUGUCGAUGUGCCAUUGAUACUGCAGAACUUGAGUACAGACGAGGUAGGCGGAAUUGACGGUGUAGCGGUGAAAUGCUUAGAUAUCGUCAAGAACACCGAUAGCGAAGGCAGCUUACUAGACUGUAACUGACACUGAUGCACGAAAGUGUGGGGAUCAAA
This 421-nucleotide ribosomal RNA is filed under the name uncultured Cytophagaceae bacterium. Its description in RNAcentral is "bacterial SSU rRNA". It matches the Rfam family "Bacterial small subunit ribosomal RNA", at positions 353 to 772 of the family's 1533-position model. Lineage: Bacteria; Pseudomonadati; Bacteroidota; Cytophagia; Cytophagales; Cytophagaceae. The record is from RNAcentral.